RNAcentral lists this small RNA (538 nucleotides) under Pan troglodytes (chimpanzee). RNAcentral's name for it is "processed transcript". The record is from RNAcentral. Lineage: Eukaryota; Metazoa; Chordata; Mammalia; Primates; Hominidae.
CAGCACAGACCCCCCCACCCCCGCCGGCCGCUGUGGCGGUCGCAGUGACACCAGUGCCCCAGUUCCCAAGAGCCUGCACAGAGGCUGAGUUUGCCUGCCACAGCUACAAUGAGUGUGUGGCCCUGGAGUAUCGCUGUGACCGGCGGCCCGACUGCAGGGACAUGUCUGAUGAGCUCAAUUGUGAGGAGCCAGUCCUGGGCAUCAGCCCCACAUUCUCUCUCCUCGUGGAGACGACACCUUUACCGCCCCAGCCAGAGACAACCAUCAUGCGACAGCCACCAGUCACCCACGCUCCUCAGCCCCUGCUUCCCGGUUCCGUCAGGCCCCUGCCCUGUGGGCCCCAGGAGGCCGCAUGCCGCAGUGGGCACUGCAUCCGCAGAGACUACCUCUGCGACGGACAGGAGGACUGCGAGGACGGCAGCGAUGAGCUAGACUGUGGCCCCCCGCCACCCUGUGAGCCCAACGAGUUCCCCUGCGGGAAUGGACAUUGUGCCCUCAAGCUGUGGCGCUGCGAUGGUGACUUUGACUGUGAGGACCG